This is a long non-coding RNA of Aplysia californica (California sea hare), 316 nucleotides long. RefSeq lists it as uncharacterized. Lineage: Eukaryota; Metazoa; Mollusca; Gastropoda; Aplysiida; Aplysiidae. The record is from RefSeq and is a predicted model, not a curated record. The transcript is spliced from 3 exons.
CGUCUGCAGCAGCCCAAGGGGUCGUCCUCCGUCCGGGAAGAUGUCCUGCUACGGGGACUCAGGCUGCUUUUGACCCCAGUCGGUACCUGGGUACGUGGUACGAGUACGAGCGCUUCGACAACUGGUUCGAGGCGGGCAUGGACUGUGUGAGAGCCGAGUACGGCCUGAACCCUGACCAGACCAUCAGUGUUCUCAACGCCGGCACCAGGAGCUUUAAGCUGUUCGGACGUACUAUCUUCAGCCGGCCGGCCUCCAUCAACGGUGACGCUACCACACCGGACCCUGCUUCCCCCGCCCAGCUCAAAGUGUCCUUCUC